GCGGCGAGCGGCGGACGGGUGAGUAACGCGUAGGAAUCUACCUGGUAGUGGGGGAUAGCCCGGGGAAACUCGGAUUAAUACCGCAUACGUCCCAAGGGAGAAAGUGGGGGAUCUUCGGACCUCACGCUAUCAGAAGAGCCUGCGUAGGAUUAGCUAGUUGGUAGGGUAAAGGCCUACCAAGGCGACGAUCCUUAACUGGUCUGAGAGGAUGAUCAGUCACACCGGAACUGAGACACGGUCCGGACUCC
RNAcentral lists this ribosomal RNA (248 nucleotides) under uncultured bacterium. RNAcentral's name for it is "partial 16S ribosomal RNA". It matches the Rfam family "Bacterial small subunit ribosomal RNA", at positions 88 to 339 of the family's 1533-position model. The record is from RNAcentral.